RNAcentral lists this ribosomal RNA (207 nucleotides) under uncultured delta proteobacterium. Its description in RNAcentral is "partial 16S ribosomal RNA". It matches the Rfam family "Bacterial small subunit ribosomal RNA", at positions 568 to 774 of the family's 1533-position model. The record is from RNAcentral. Lineage: Bacteria; Deltaproteobacteria. RNAcentral also lists the same sequence under 1 other name.
CACGUAGGCCGCUUUGUAAGUCAGGGGUGAAAUCCCACGGCUCAACCGUGGAACUGCCUUUGAAACUGCAGAGCUUGAAUCCUGGAGAGGGUGGCGGAAUUCCUGGUGUAGGAGUGAAAUCCGUAGAUAUCAGGAGGAACACCGGUGGCGAAGGCGGCCACCUGGACAGGUAUUGACGCUGAGGUGCGAAAGUGUGGGGAGCAAACA